This 301-nucleotide ribosomal RNA is filed under the name uncultured bacterium. Its description in RNAcentral is "partial 16S ribosomal RNA". It matches the Rfam family "Bacterial small subunit ribosomal RNA", at positions 509 to 807 of the family's 1533-position model. The record is from RNAcentral.
CAGUAGCCGCGGGAAUACGGAGGGUGCAAGCGUUAAUCGGAAUUACUGGGCGUAAAGCGCACGCAGGCGGUCUGACAAGUCAGAUGUGAAAUCCCCGGGCUUAACCUGGGAACUGCAUUCGAAACUGUCAGGCUGGAGUCUUGUAGAGGGGGGUGGAAUUCCAGGUGUAGCGGUGAAAUGCGUAGAGAUCUGGAGGAAUACCGGUGGCGAAGGCGGCCCCCUGGACAAAGACUGACGCUCAGGUGCGAAAGCGUGGGGAGCAAACAGGAUUAGAUACCCGGGUAGUCCCUGUCUCUUAUAC